RNAcentral lists this long non-coding RNA (1258 nucleotides) under Sinocyclocheilus grahami. RNAcentral's name for it is "lncRNA (ENSSGRG00000001511.1)". The record is from RNAcentral. Lineage: Eukaryota; Metazoa; Chordata; Actinopteri; Cypriniformes; Cyprinidae.
GGGGUCUGAAUACUUUCCGUACCCACUGUAUGUGCAAAUAUAUACUUUUUCUAUUAAACACAUUUUUUGUUACGUUUUAUAUUCAUUUUCCACACUUGAAUGUUUUCAUCUAGAUUUGCCUAAUCUAGGUGUAAUGUAUUAGCCUAACUCUAUGUUUAACUAGUAACACUACUUCUUAGGGUCCCCCAGUCAUGCCUACUUCAAGAUAGGAAACAGAGUCAGUGUGAAAUCUUCAGUGAAAGAUCCAAAACAUGGAUGGGGAUCAGUCACUCACAACAGCAUCGGUGUCAUUAAAAGUAAAUACACUCAGCAUCUUUCACUGAUUUUACUCAUUCAGAUUCAUAUAUUGCGAGAUACCUGAAAAUGAAAUUAAACACAAUCAUUUACACAUCAAAUGAUUUUGGGGUUAUUAAUGACUUUCUGAUCUUCGCCAGGAAUUCAGGACGAGUCUUUGACUGUGGAUUUUCCUGAGCAGACAGAUUGGACUGGUGUCGCUUUAGAAAUGGAACUCAUAAACGGAGAUGUUUCAGAAGUGCUCAGUUUAAGGCCUGGAGCGAGGGUCCGUGUUAAACCCACCAUCAGAACUCCAGCACAUGGCUGGGGAAGUGUCACCAAGCACAGCACUGGAGUGGUCGUAGCUAUAGAUGGAACCAAAGUGACUGUGAACUUUCCUGAACAGUUUAGUUGGACUGGCAUUGUCUCAGAGAUGGAAGCUGUACCUUAAUGAUGAUACACAGCAUCAAGGAGCUGUUCACGACAUGUACACUGCACACGGGUUUAGAAUAUACAGUAUAUAUGUUUAGGGGUAAUGCGUUUGCUCUUAACACCAGGGUUUAAUGCACAGAUUAAAAAUGCCCAUUGAGACCCACUAUGACCUGACCCUUACAGUCUCAAAGAACCUAUUUUAACUGUGAAACAUAGUUAUUAUAUAAACAUAAACAAGAUUGCAUGAAAAAGGUAUAUUGACACUAGCAUAAUAUAUGCUAAUACAGCCCAUCCCUUGAGUGCGUUUCUUAUUUUCUUUAUAUGAUGUUAAGACUCUGCUACUCUCGCUCUCUGUCUUAGUCUGAUUAUUUAACACUAGAACUACCGGAAUUCUAUAACUACUAGAAUGGCCAUAGCUGUCAUUCUGACUGUUAUACUAGACUAAUCUGAAUGCCAUUUUUGUCAUAUCAUAUUUACAUUCGGAGCUUCUUUUGAGGUUUUACAAUGAAGUUUUGAAUGUUUUUGUCGUCAUAGUUUAUGACAUAAUCACCCU